UAGAACGUCGUGAGACAGUUCGGUCCCUAUCUGCCGUGGGCGCUGGAGAACUGAGGGGGGCUGCUCCUAGUACGAGAGGACCGGAGUGGACGCAUCACUGGUGUUCGGGUUGUCAUGCCAAUGGCACUGCCCGGUAGCUAAAUGCGGAAGAGAUAAGUGCUGAAAGCAUCUAAGCACGAAACUUGCCCCGAGAUGAGUUCUCCCUGACCCUUUAAGGGUCCUGAAGGAACGUUGAAGACGACGACGUUGAUAGGCCGGGUGUGUAAGCGCAGCGAUGCGUUGAGCUAACCGGUACUAAUGAACCGUGAGGCUUAACCUU
This 319-nucleotide ribosomal RNA is filed under the name Escherichia coli. RNAcentral's name for it is "partial 23S ribosomal RNA". It matches the Rfam family "Bacterial large subunit ribosomal RNA", at positions 2612 to 2925 of the family's 2925-position model. Lineage: Bacteria; Pseudomonadati; Pseudomonadota; Gammaproteobacteria; Enterobacterales; Enterobacteriaceae. The record is from RNAcentral.